AAACCAGACAGUGGUGAGGGAUCAGUUAUCAGCGGCUGAGGGAAAACGAUUGGCACUAUUGUAGGUACGGCAGAUUUGGUUCCGAUGAUCCCGCUUCGGCGGUGACGCC
Long non-coding RNA from Zingiber officinale, 109 nucleotides. RefSeq lists it as uncharacterized. The record is from RefSeq and is a predicted model, not a curated record. Lineage: Eukaryota; Viridiplantae; Streptophyta; Magnoliopsida; Zingiberales; Zingiberaceae. The transcript has 3 exons.